GUUUGUUACGAAGCAACUGAUGUUUAAGAGUUGCGAGGCUUUUCGUAUGCAUCAGAGAUCGCGGUAUGACCCCAUUUGCGGAAGGAAUUCCAAUAAGGCCACACAAUAACGUCAAAAAUCCCGAAAGAAGUAAAUCAUAAUGGUAAGAAGAUGGUUUUCGCAAAUUGAACUCUUUCUGUUGAGAGAGCUGAGAUGCAGCACUAUGAUCGAAGUAGCAAUGGAAUGAGUAACCAUAUUUUUUAUGUUUUAAACUAUUCUCAGAAAACUAAGACACAAUGCCUUGAACAAUACACUUGAAAUGGGAGACAACAUUUGCCCUCAGUUGCAGCUUGUGGAUUUACAAGACAACCAGAUUGCAUACGUAACAGUCGGUUCACAGUACAAAAACACAUUGAUGUGAGACAUUUUUCUUUCUAAUCUGACAUGCUUCGGCUCCGUUUUACCUGACUUAUUCAUUACUUCACUGCAUUUCCUUAUUCUUUUUUCAGGUAAGAUAAAAAAUACAAUGUGAUUACAAUUGCAACUUCUAUGCAGCAGGUGACAGUGAUAUUUAAAUUAUUCAGAUUAGUGCAGAGGAACUUCUCUUAGCAGAGGUGCUACUAUUUUGAUAGCAACUGGAAGUAC
Molecule: long non-coding RNA, 624 nt
Filed under: Lathyrus oleraceus (garden pea)
Lineage: Eukaryota; Viridiplantae; Streptophyta; Magnoliopsida; Fabales; Fabaceae
Description: Pisum sativum (pea) long non-coding RNA (PSAT_LNC021638)
Source: RNAcentral